Molecule: ribosomal RNA, 503 nt
Filed under: uncultured bacterium
Lineage: Bacteria
Description: partial 16S ribosomal RNA
Rfam family: Bacterial small subunit ribosomal RNA
Source: RNAcentral
AUUGAACGCUGGCGGCAGGCCUAACACAUGCAAGUCGAACGGUAGCACAGAGAGCUUGCUCUCGGGUGACGAGUGGCGGACGGGUGAGUAAUGUCUGGGAAACUGCCUGAUGGAGGGGGAUAACUACUGGAAACGGUAGCUAAUACCGCAUAACGUCGCAAGACCAAAGAGGGGGACCUUCGGGCCUCUUGCCAUCAGAUGUGCCCAGAUGGGAUUAGCUAGUAGGUGGGGUAACGGCUCACCUAGGCGACGAUCCCUAGCUGGUCUGAGAGGAUGACCAGCCACACUGGAACUGGGACACGGUCAGACUCCUACGGGAGGCAGCAGUGGGGAAUAUUGCACAAUGGGCGCAAGCCUGAUGCAGCCAUGCCGCGUGUGUGAAGAAGGCCUUCGGGUUGUAAAGCACUUUCAGCGGGGAGGAAGGCGAUGAGGUUAAUAACCUCAUCGAUUGACGUUACCCGCAGAAGAAGCACCGGCUAACUCCGUGCCAGCCGCCGCGGUAA